UGGUGGUGGUGGUGAUGGGGUGGACUAACCGUCUGUUAUUUCUGCCCCGACGGAGGAGGCAAAACCGCAGCAAACUAACGCGUGCCCAGCGGAGGACGGAGCUAGCAUGACGGCUGAAGUGAUUAGCGGUAUCCUGGUAACCCACCGACCAGCUGAUGUCACUGCUCUCCAUAAUGAAGUGUGAGUGUAUCUGGCUGCCUUUGUCAAUAAAGCAGGCGGGGAAAUUCACAGGAGAUAAGACCUGACAGCGAAGGCCACGUCUGCCAUGAUGUGAUUCAAAUCUCUUUAUUUUUAGAAGAUCUUCCACACAAAGCGGCUACCCCUAAAUUAUUCAGCUAAGGA
Long non-coding RNA from Lates calcarifer (barramundi perch), 342 nucleotides. RefSeq lists it as uncharacterized. Lineage: Eukaryota; Metazoa; Chordata; Actinopteri; Centropomidae. The transcript has 3 exons. The record is from RefSeq and is a predicted model, not a curated record.